Phalacrocorax carbo (great cormorant) is the source of this 903-nucleotide non-coding RNA. The record is from RefSeq and is a predicted model, not a curated record. Lineage: Eukaryota; Metazoa; Chordata; Aves; Suliformes; Phalacrocoracidae.
CUGCCCCUUCCUCAGACUACAGAUGGGGACUUUAAAUAGAAAAUUGUCUCAGACAGAUUGUGCACCGGGGAAACCCUUUUAUGACCCAGAAUAUACUCUCCGCACAGUAUCCGUUUCAUUGUCAGGGGCACAGACUUCCUGAGCUCCACCCCCUCUCCCUGGCCUCCGGCUGCCUGACGUCAGCAGCAUUUCCUUGCAUGCCUGGGAUGCUUGACAUCGUUGGGGCUUAGCUGGGAAACAGAGAGGAUUUGGGGAAACAAGGGACAAGAAUGUAGCCGUGAGCCAUUCCCGGGCAGGUGGCCUCAUGAUGCACGACAGAGUUGCACACACACCUGGCUGGAGAGAGGAGCGAGGCUGGUGAACCGGUGACUGCGUAGAGCAGCAGUGAUGGCGCGCACCCAAGGCCUGGGAAGUUCCUGCCUUGCUUGUAGCAUCAGACCCUGGCAGUCACACAGCUUCAUCUCUUUGGUCAAAUCUGCCACCUCCUAGAUAUCUAUUGUCAUGCUGCCCUUAACUCACCUCCCAGAAAAGAUGCCCUGGAGCCCCAGUCCCCUGCCUCCACCUUGCUGCCCCCAAGAAGGGAAGAGCGAGCAGCAGGUCGAGCCCGACAGUGAAAAGGAGCAGCAUGCUGAAACAGCCUUGUACUCUCACGCUGUCAUCAGUAACUAAGAGACAUGUGGGAAGCCUGCAGCACUUUUGUUAGUGGAUAGCUCCUGGUUUCUGUCCCAAACUCACUUUCUUCAGAGCAUGUGUUGAGGUUGUGAAGUCACCACUCCCAUAAAUCAACAGAAGCCAAACACAUUAAUCCAGAAGCAGAAGGUCUUCAGCUAGAUGGGCAAUUUUUGUCUUAGAAGAUUGGUCCAAGGGUUGAAAUGCUGCCAGCCUGGAUAAUAAACAUCACUU